Molecule: long non-coding RNA, 8386 nt
Organism: Acinonyx jubatus (cheetah)
Lineage: Eukaryota; Metazoa; Chordata; Mammalia; Carnivora; Felidae
Exons: 3
Source: RefSeq, a predicted model, not a curated record
GGGGAGGCGGGAAAGGCGAGGAACGCGAGCGAACAUUCGCACCUGGUUCAAUGCGGACCCUUGUUCCCGGAGCGGAGUUGGGGGAUGGGGUGGAAGCGACUUUUUACCAGUAUACGGAACCCCGGAAACGUGCUGGGGCUAAGGAACUACUGACAGCCUCCUAUGGCCAUGCACUCCUAUGAGUUCUGGGGGCUGGCACUUACUGUACAGAACAGAAUGGACCUGUCCCUACCUUCAGAGACCUUCCAGCUUUGGGGAGAAGAUCAGGAAAUCAGGAGAGAAUUACAAAGCAGCAGCAAACGCUUUGACAGAGGUCUUUCUUCUAAUUCUUCUGGCCAAUCAAGGUCCCAGCAAGCCACUGACAGAGAGGGUGAGAGACGGGAAAAAGGCAAGAUUUAUCUAGGCCUUUGAUGUACCAGGAGCGUCUAGAGUGUCCUCAUCUAUGGUAUCUCAUUUUAUCCUCUCUACCUCCCUGUGAACUAGAGCUUUUUAUACCCAUUUUGACACCUGAAGAAACCAAGGCUCCAGCAAUUAAGUAACUUGCCCGAGGAUGGAGUACAGAGCCAGGCUUCCAAUCCAGGGGUCAGUUUUCAGAGCUUUUGCUCUUCCUGCAUCCUGGGACGAAGUGGAAUACACAGAAAACCUCUACUGGGAUCACAUGGCAAGUUUACUUCUCUCCGGGGAGACUCUAGCCCUUUUUCCCCAACCUACGAAAAAGAAAAGGCCGAGGGGAGACUGAAGAUCUUUUGUGAGAUCUGCUAGAACUUCAUGAAAAGGUGCUGACACCACAAAGCAAGAACUUGGAUCCCAUCCCUGCCUCCUGGGAUUAACCUAUAUUUCCUCAUUGGCCUGAGAUCCAAGAGACAAAGAGAGACAUGCCCCAGAGCACAGGCAGCAGAAAAGUUCGGGCGAGUUCUGGGAGACUCUGACCUGCCCCAGGCUAGGGAGGGCACUACCUGGAGAGUUCUGCCAGAUUCUUCAGAAGCUGUCACUUGGGCCUGGCCCCUCCUCCUUCCCCUCUCUCCUCCCCCACGUCUGACCCUGCAGAGAGGCACGUCCAGCACGAAUUCCUCCGAACCUUAGAUGCCUUUAGGAUUUUAAUGUGUCUGAAGAGUUCCCUUCCUUGACAAGCGGCAGCAUUAGUCAAGUUGAGUGGGUGGGAAGGGCAUUUCCCGUCAAUCCAGGGCCCCGGAGGAAGGGGAGACCCUCCUCCCUCCCAGCCUUGGCAAGCAGCUCCUGCAGAGAUCCACGUGGGUGGCAAUUGAGUCCAGAGGAGCCAAAGGGUUGCUUGCUGGGCAGGAAUGCCCACAGGCCGCACCUUCCUCAGCCCUCCUAGCACCUCAUCCUGUCUGGACCCGUGGAGGGGGUGGCGGUGCCAGGGAGUGGGUUCUCCUGUGUCUGACUCCAACAACCGGUUUAUUGUGAUGAUUCUAUUUGUGUUCCCUGUGUUCUGUUUGACUUGGCAGCCCAGAGGGGAAAGGGCAGCAGGUUCACUCCGGUUUGUACUGGGUGGUUCCUGCAGACACACCCAGGUAUUAAAGCAAGCGGCUUGCACUGGGGAUGCCUUUACCUGGGGGCCCUCAGUGUGCAAAAGCAAGGUGUGGGAAGUAUUUCCUCUUUAUGGGCCAGCCAGGUGUGGCUGGCAUGUUACCUAUUCCUGUAUUACUAACGUCAUUCAGAUUCAGGUCAAAGGGCAGGCUUACCAGACUCCCAUCAUCCUGGGAUCCAGGACCAGGGGUGGUUGAUUAUGUCCAUUUGGGCUGGAUAACCCUGGAUAUCUAGUACCCAUGGGCACCAUAACUCCUGGGUCUAAAACAAAAAUCCAAAGCCUGACAAUUGGGUUCUACUUUGAAAUCUAGACUCUCCUAAACAUCCAAACUAAGGACUCUUCUCAGACAAGGUGAUAACAUUCAAGGAGACCAGACUUCAAGGUCAAAUACUUAGUCUGGAACUCUGGAUUUGCCCACUUAUUUACCUGAGCCUUUAUCUAGUACUGAAAUCUCUAGCACGUGGGAAAUAGCAGCUAACACUUAGGCUACAAGGCGCCAGGCGUUGUUCUCAGCGUUUUUAUGAAAACUCGUUUAGGCUUCAAAACAACCUAAAGAGGUGAGUAGGUGAGUACUGUUAUCAUCAUCUUCUUUUACAGACGAGGCACAGAGGCACAGAGAGGGCAAGGACAUUGCCAGAGGUCACCGGCUAAUAGGCAACAGUGCCUUGAUUCCACAGCAGGUAGUCCGGCUCUGGAACCCAUGUGCUUAACCACUAUGUGGUAGAGACGUUCCCAGAGGGCCCACACUGUGUCAGGGGUUAGAGAUGUCAUGGAGAGCAGACACAGACACAGCCCCCAGUCCCUAUCCCUGUCAGCUUGACACUUAGGAGGCUCCCGAGUCAACUUGAAAGGGCCUUUCUAUCAAGCCUAGAAACUACCCUCGCCCUUCAUCCUUUACGCGAGGAAAGACAGGCAUUUCCUAGGUGAAGGUGACAGUCAUGGUCAUCCAGCCAGGUCAGUAAAAGGAAGUGCGCCUUCAGAAGUGCACUGGCUUCCACGGGAUCCUUACCUGCCCCGGGCACAAGAGCAAAACCUUGCACAACUACACUCAGGUUCUGUCAGGAAAGAGCGUUCAACUAGGUAGGCAGGCGUGUGCCUCUCUCCGCUCCUUUGCACACUGAGGGGUGGCAGAGCCAGGUGAGGGGGCUGAGUCACGUCCAGCAGGCAAGGCCACAGAGCCCUUCCCUGAAGAAAGUGGCCCUGACCUAGACAGCCAGGUGAUGAAACCAUUUCCUCUACCAGAGAGGCCCGACCACAUGGCUGCAGGGCCUGGCAAGGCCACAGGCUUUGUUCUCCAAGGCCGCUCCCUACCGGAUGUGAUAAUGUGCACUGUGGACUUGAGACACUUAACAAUUAUUUCUUCAAUGGAGACGAGGUGUAGAUAAUUACCGUUGCCCACAGUUAUUGAGCUCUUAGCGUGCUUUAUGUGGCUGAUAUGGAUUCAUUUAUUUAAUCCUUAAAACAACUCUAUGAAGUAGGUUCUGUUAUUAUCUCCACUUGCUGGAUGAAAAAUGGAGGCUCAGAGAAGUUAGCUUCUCCAAGUCUCGACGGGCGAUAACUGAGAUUCAUACCCAGGAAUGGCUGACUUCCAAGAGUGUGCUCUCUUAACUAUCUAAAGCAAAGUGAGGACCCGUCCUCUGAAUCAGUGGGGACAUGGGGACAGGAAGAAGUCUUGAGACAUUUCCAUAUUGGACUGGGGGGUUCAAGGCCCCCAAAUCCAGUUUACUGGGGAUCCUUGGGUCCUCCAGAAGUGUGAUCUGAUGUUGGCCCCCAGAUUCUGUCUGGCCACUGUAGAGCAACAUGGGCCAGAGGUGGUUCCAAUAAUUCCCUCAGGCUAACUAGAUCCCAUAUAAAAGCCUAAAACUGGGCUGGAACCUUGCUGACCCUCCAAGCAUAGAGCAGGAUGGAGGCAGAGACUACCUAAGUACAAAACUGUGAGUGUCAUAUUUCUGGGUAUUUGCGCAGACAGGGCUUGGGUUCUGUGCUAUGACUGGAAGUGAGACUUGUCCAUCUGGGCUUGGGAUCUGUGCUGUGACUAGGAUGGCAUCAUACAAGGCCAAAGCCAAAACCCUCCAGGCACCUUUCUAUUCCUGGCCCUUUUAUAGCACCUCAUUUCCCUCCACCUCCUCCCAAUAACACGUAAACACACCUUGGUAUUAUUUAAUAACACCGGCCCUGGAGCCAGACUCCUUGCGUUUUAAUCCUAGCUCUGCCACUUACUUGCAAAGUAUUUAUCUUCCAAAUUGUCUUAGCUUCCUGUACCUCAGUUUCCUUGUCUGAAAACGGGGAUGACAAUAGUCCCUUCCUUAACAGCGCUGUUAAGAGGUCAAAAAGAUAAUGCACGGGAUGGGUAUGGUAAAUGCUCAAUACAUGUUAGGCAUUGUUAUUGUUGCAGUAGUUUCUUCCCUCUUUGCGUCCUUUUUUCUCUGGAUAUGAGAAAAUCUUGUUGACAACUGGCUGUAAGCUAUCUCCAACUGGGUUACUGUUUACAUUCCUCCUCUCAUAUCCUCUGACUGUCAAUCCUUAUGUAGUCCUUCCUGAAGAGAUUCAGGAGCGGGUGCUCCUAGAAUGGGGAAGAAAUCCCAUUAGAUUAGGUCAGGGAUCUUUGGGUAAUUCCUUAAAGCCAAUUUUCUUGACGAUUUUAAUGGGUCCACUUGGGAAGGCGGCCAAAGCUAUUAAUUUGUAACAGCUGCUGAGAAAUCACUGUCAACACCUCGGUAUAGAUCCUCUCUGUGGGGCACAGGAGUUAGGUCGAAAGUCAUGAAAGCUAAAAUAAUUAAUGAGCAACAGCAAUGUAGAGGAUCGCUAAAUCCUAUUUGUGAGCUAAAAUGCUAACGAUUUAAUUAAUUUAAUUCAAUCGUAAAUUAAAGGGCAAAACAAAUAGCCCUUUAAUAAAAACACCCCCCCCUCCUUGGCUGAGUCCCCCCGGAGACUCUCACCUCCUCUUCUUAGACUAUCAUCUCAGUCUGAUGACAAACCAUGUCUUAAUAGAUUUAACUUCUGUUUGACUUCUAACCUAAGAGCAGUACAAACCCACGUGCCUGCUAAAUAUAAGCUGAUGAUGACACGGGCCUAGGAUAGAAAGUGAGCGACCCAGUGGGUGAGUUAAUGCCACAAAGGAGAGUCAGGGUGAGGGGGUACCUUAGCUCACAUCUGAACAAAGGAGUGUAUUUCCUGUGAAGUCUGAUGAGAAAAUGAAAAAAAAAAAAAAAAAAAAGGUGUGGUUUGACUCCAUCACACAAAGUUACAGCAGGUCUUGCCCUGGCGUAGAACUUUAAAGACCUGAGCAGCACAUUUGUGGUUUGGUGGCUUUAUCCGAUUCUGGGGCUGAUGCCUGCUGCUUCUAGUUCAUGGCUGUAGAGUUUCCAGUCCCCUUUGGGGCUCUUACGUUAUGGUUUCAGGUUGGCCACAUAUCUGUCUCCACUAUUCAGAUGGAACAGCCCCAAGGUCCCCCCCGCCCCACAAAGAGACCAAGUUUACAACAGGGGCCUCCCAUGUGCCAGAGCCUGCUUUAUCUGCCUCAUUUCACUCAUGAUGCCCCCUUCCCAGGUUAGGAAACUGAGGCUUCAUACAAGUUAAAUAAUCGAUCCAGGAUCAUACAAGUAGAAAGGUGUCAAGCCUGGAUUCACACCUGAGACCAUAGGAUGUGACUGCCCAGAUUGCAUGCUUACCCACCAAAUUAUACGGCAUCACCGUAUCCUUUCCCCAUCUACACCAUGGCUUGUGCUGUGCGUUGCCCUUUCUUCUGCACACCUAGGGAGGGUGUCCUGGCCAUUCGGCAAUUUUUCAUCCCUCAAAGACCUUCUUUAAUGUUCUGCUGUCCCACCCCUUCCAGCCCAAGGAAGUCUCUCCACCCUCUGAACUUUUUUCUGAACUCCACCCUCUGAACUUCUGGCUCUGAAACACACAUGAUCCUGUGUGAUUCUUCAAGUGUCGUAUUGCACAGGCUCUGUCUCCCAACUAAAUUACAAGCCUCCAAAAGUCGGGAUCACUGCAGUCCCCCCAGCACUCAGCCUAAGAUCUGUGGACACAGUAGACACUCACUAGGUGUCUAAACAAAAUGAAAGAAAACUCAAGAUAAAUAUUCCAAAUGGUGCCUCUGCACAGAGAUCAUUUUCGGCAAGCGAGAGUCAUUUGGAGCCCAGCUGCUUUCAUCUAUCAAUCUUCUCGGAGUGCCUGGCCAAUACAUAGGUGACGAAUAAAUAUUGGAGAAUAAAACAAGGAAUGAAACUCCAGCUCCCUCACCUGUGGCGUGACUUGGGCAAAUUAUCGAAAAUCCUCCAAAUCUCCGUUUCCUUCUGGAAAAUAUGGGGGACAUUCUUGGAGCGUUUAUGUGAGAUCAGAGCCAUGUGAGGCAUGCCCACUCACUCACAGCCCUUGGCACACUACAGCUCCUGUGAUCACAUUACCACCAUUACUGUUUUCUAAACCUUCCACGGGAAAUGGCUCCAGCCACUCAAAGGUAAAGGACUUGGGUCACUAGUCUACCAAGGGUGCCGUGGAAAGUUGCUGCAGGCGAUGAUCAAAACAAUCCCAAGCAACCACACGAUCCACAGUCUUCUGGCAUAUUGCUAUUUACCAGGUCUCGGGGGUUACGUUUUGUUUUUGCUUGUGGCCCAAUCGGAACCCCCAUGGUGUCUUCCUAUGGAACUCGGCGUACCUUUACUGCGACGGGGGAGGGGGGUGCUUUUCCUUUCUUUAUUGAGAAAAGGAAACAGGAAAUCGAAUGUAAAACCCUCCGACGGUUAGUGUCACACCGAAAGUUGUGAAUUUAACCACACCCCCGCCAGGAAAUGAAAGUACAGUUCUCACAGUGAUGUUCCCUCUCCUUUCGAGGCCCACACGGUGUUUUUCAGAUUUUAGUUAGAUAGUGUAGAUCAAAGGGCUGAACUUGGGCACGGGUUGUCACUGGGUAUUUGUUGAUUUGCGCAUAGAUUAGCACACCGAUUUGAAAUUGCACAAGUGGAGAAGGGACUUUCACUGGCUCUGUGACAAUAUGGCUCCUAGCAGACGUCACAACCUGACAGGUCCACAGACUAGAUUCUGACCCACAGACAUAUUUUUCUGUUCCAGCCCACAGUCUGGAUUUACAGCCUCCCUAGGAGGAAGACGGUGAUAGGGGGUGACAGCCGCCCCCUUUAGGUCUAGGGCACUCGUUUCUGGUUUGGUGAAUCAGCCACUGCACUGAUCUGCCUUCCCUGCCCUGCCUGCCCUGGGGGGCGUUUGAAAUUCCAGGCUUCUGUCCAAUGUCUAAAAGACAGUCACAAAGCUGCCACUCCCACGGAGACAGGUGUAGGUUUCUGACACCUGAACUUCUCCAGUAUAUGCAAGCCUUUCCUUCUCACCUGCUCCUCCCUGCACAGGCCUCCUGAUCACUAGUCCCUGCUACUCCCAAUAUAGACAGUUGUUCAUAAUCUGCCCUAGCCUGGGCAAGUUUGCCAUUUCUUCGCUUUACACAAGGGUAAGUGUGGAUGGGAGGGAUGCCUACUAGGAAAUUCUGGAGGAGCAAGUGAGUUGAGGAGCUAUGGCCCCAUCAGAUCUUCCUCUGAACUGCACAGUUUCCUUAGUUGAUGGCAUAGACCUCUUGUUUUGCCACCCAACACUCAUUCUUGCUUCUACCCGCCACCCCAGGGAUCACCCCUCCCCGCUCUCAAUCCCCGUGUUCUCUGUGGAGUUGACCCUCUCCCUCGAGAGCUGGGUCCUAGAGCUCCUAGAUGAAGCCUUGCCUGACAGAGGAUCGCCCCUCAGACUUUCCGGUUCCAUGAGUGGCUCGCUAGCAACUAGCCCCUAAACCUUUCCAUGUAUGUAUUCUUUGUAUUCAAACCACCGUAGGUUCACGCUACACAUUCUUUUCACAAUUGUCUGUCUUUACCACCGUCACUACAUGUCACUCCCCUGAUAAGAACUUCAAGCCCUCAGAACUGCUGGGAAAACACUUCUGGACGCGGGUGACUUUUAGAGGUGUCGGCCCAUUGAGGUGUUCGGUUGCCCCCAAGGUCUCCGGCAAACAGGAAUUACCCCCACAUCUGAGGGGGUAGCGAAUAGACAACAGGUGACCGUUAGCCUUUAGGAUACUGUCGUGCUUUUAACCUGUUGGCCACUGACUGACAGACGUCCAGGCGUUACAUGCUCCUUGAGGGCGAAGGACUAUGCCUUAGUCUCAGUUUUAUUUCCAGAGCCUAGUCGGUGUGCCUGGUAUAGAAUAAGUGCUCAAUAAUCAUAUAUUGAGUAAAUAAAGGGAUCACUUGCUGAAAACUCUGGGUCAGGGCAUCAAGAAAUAAGACUGACUCUGAGUCUUCUGUGGAGUUGCUGCUAAGCCCUGAGAAACAUGACUGACCCGGAUCCAUAAGCAUUUAUUAAUGAUGAGGGCAUGCUGACGUUCGUACAGGAUUUCCACAUAGUUUCAUUCUUAUGCAUUGAGGUAAAACGCACACCUCGUAUGCCAUCAUCAGACAGUUUGAAGAGGGCACACGCUGGUACAGAAGAGUGGUUACAAGUCUGGGAGCCGGAGUCAGGCUGCCUAGGUCUAAAUCUUGUCUCUUCCAUUUACUAGCAGUGUGGUCUUGGGCACGUACCUAAUCUCUCUGUGGCCUCAUUUCCCCAUCUGUAAAAUUUGGGUAGUAAGGAUACCCAUCAUGGGGGCUCCCGGGUGGCUCAGUCGGUUAAGCGGCCGACUGCAGCUCAGGUCAUGAUCUCACAGGUCAUGAGUUCAAGCCCCACGUCGGGCUCUUUGCUGACAGCACAGAGCCUGGAGCCUGCUUCAGAUUCUGUGUCUCCCUCUCUCUCUCUGCAUCUUUCCCACUCAUGCUGUCUCCCUCACCUCUCUCUCAAGAAUAA